CUUCGGGUCCCCGUCAGAUACGGUUUCCCCUACAUCUCCUUCCCGCCCAGGUGGCAAAAAGCACGUGUGCUUGUUGCACGCUCGGAAUCGCCAUGCUGUGCUCGCGCCACAGGGAAACUACGCCCUGGAACUCGAAUCUGUUUCUGUCCCUGGAUUUACACCCCAGCCAUGCCACUGGUUUAUUCAGCCUGAGCUCACCUGGCUCUCAAGUCUGCCUGGAAUUAUUGUCAAGAGGACAAACAUAGCUCUCUGUGUUCCUGCCACAGUUUCAGCUGAUUCCCCUGAGGAUUUGGAUCAGUCAGCAAUCCGACUUCAGUCUGUUGGACUCUUCCACAUAAACUGUCUGGAUCAUAUCCUCUUCUGGAUUCUGCACCUCAUUCCCAGACUGAGAAGUGAUUCGUGGAAGCUGACUGCUGGUCUCCUGUUUUCUGAUCCUGAUUUGCUGAAUAAACCUUUUAACUUUUCACUUUGUGUUUGGCUGAAUUGGGUCCUCUGUCUCUGGUUGUGAUACCCUUAGGUGGUUGAGUAAAGCUCUCCAAACUACUUGGCUGGGGGGAAGGCGGUCAGAGUGCCAGAAAGCUCUGAACUCCUGUGGAGACGUUCGCGGGUUUUAAGGAAUAUUCACCCAUUACCCAGCGCGUAAUGGGCCUGACAAGUCCUAAGGAAACACCUCCUCCUCCUCAAGUAGAAAUGUUUGACUACACAGUAAAAAAUAUGGACCAAAAAUCACAGAGUGCAUCAAUUAAGGGGUUAAAGAGUCAAAACUUUCCUGCAGGAAGUUUCUUUUGUCUUAAAUAUUGCAAUCACCCGGAAAAGAAGGCAAGAGUGAAAAGGAACAUUAGAGAUGGGAAAAGAAAGUUGUUUUUGAAAAGAGCACAGUGCAUGUUCUGGAAGGAAGAGUGUG
Molecule: long non-coding RNA, 904 nt
Organism: Girardinichthys multiradiatus
Lineage: Eukaryota; Metazoa; Chordata; Actinopteri; Cyprinodontiformes; Goodeidae
Exons: 3
Source: RefSeq, a predicted model, not a curated record